This 1179-nucleotide ribosomal RNA is filed under the name Vreelandella aquamarina. Its description in RNAcentral is "bacterial SSU rRNA". It matches the Rfam family "Bacterial small subunit ribosomal RNA", at positions 125 to 1304 of the family's 1533-position model. The record is from RNAcentral. Lineage: Bacteria; Pseudomonadati; Pseudomonadota; Gammaproteobacteria; Oceanospirillales; Halomonadaceae.
UCUGCCCGAUAGUGGGGGAUAACCUGGGGAAACCCAGGCUAAUACCGCAUACGUCCUACGGGAGAAAGGGGGCUCCGGCUCCCGCUAUGGGAUGAGCCUAUGUCGGAUUAGCUAGUUGGUGAGGUAACGGCUCACCAAGGCCACGAUCCGUAGCUGGUCUGAGAGGAUGAUCAGCCACAUCGGGACUGAGACACGGCCCGAACUCCUACGGGAGGCAGCAGUGGGGAAUAUUGGACAAUGGGGGAAACCCUGAUCCAGCCAUGCCGCGUGUGUGAAGAAGGCCCUCGGGUUGUAAAGCACUUUCAGCGAGGAAGAACGCCUAGCGGUUAAUACCCGCUAGGAAAGACAUCACUCGCAGAAGAAGCACCGGCUAACUCCGUGCCAGCAGCCGCGGUAAUACGGAGGGUGCAAGCGUUAAUCGGAAUUACUGGGCGUAAAGCGCGCGUAGGUGGCUUGAUAAGCCGGUUGUGAAAGCCCCGGGCUCAACCUGGGAACGGCAUCCGGAACUGUCAAGCUAGAGUGCAGGAGAGGAAGGUAGAAUUCCCGGUGUAGCGGUGAAAUGCGUAGAGAUCGGGAGGAAUACCAGUGGCGAAGGCGGCCUUCUGGACUGACACUGACACUGAGGUGCGAAAGCGUGGGUAGCAAACAGGAUUAGAUACCCUGGUAGUCCACGCCGUAAACGAUGUCGACCAGCCGUUGGGUGCCUAGCGCACUUUGUGGCGAAGUUAACGCGAUAAGUCGACCGCCUGGGGAGUACGGCCGCAAGGUUAAAACUCAAAUGAAUUGACGGGGGCCCGCACAAGCGGUGGAGCAUGUGGUUUAAUUCGAUGCAACGCGAAGAACCUUACCUACUCUUGACAUCCUGCGAAUUUGGUAGAGAUACCUUAGUGCCUUCGGGAACGCAGAGACAGGUGCUGCAUGGCUGUCGUCAGCUCGUGUUGUGAAAUNGUUGGGUUAAGUCCCGUAACGAGCGCAACCCUUGUCCUUAUUUGCCAGCGCGUAAUGGCGGGAACUCUAAGGAGACUGCCGGUGACAAACCGGAGGAAGGUGGGGACGACGUCAAGUCAUCAUGGCCCUUACGAGUAGGGCUACACACGUGCUACAAUGGUCGGUACAAAGGGUUGCCAACUCGCGAGAGUGAGCCAAUCCCGAAAAGCCGAUCUCAGUCCGGAUCGGAGU